RNAcentral lists this ribosomal RNA (112 nucleotides) under Jaculus jaculus (lesser Egyptian jerboa). Lineage: Eukaryota; Metazoa; Chordata; Mammalia; Rodentia; Dipodidae. The record is from RNAcentral.
UUAGGCUCCCAUGCCCCCCUGAAUGCACCGAUCUUGUCUGAUCUUGGAAGCUGAGCAGGGUUGACCUGGUUAGUGCUUGGAUGGGAAAGUAUGUUUUAGUGGGUUGCUUAAA